ACGCCGACACCUACGGGAGCAGCAGUGGGGAAUAUUGCACAAUGGGGGAAACCCUGAUGCAGCGACGCCGCGUGAGCGAAGAAGUAUCUCGGUAUGUAAAGCUCUAUCAGCAGGGAAGAAGAUGACGGUACCUGACUAAGAAGCACCGGCUAAAUACGUGCCAACAGCCGGCGGUAAUCUGAGCGGGCUGGCGAAGGC
This 198-nucleotide ribosomal RNA is filed under the name uncultured bacterium. RNAcentral's name for it is "partial 16S ribosomal RNA". It matches the Rfam family "Bacterial small subunit ribosomal RNA", at positions 329 to 540 of the family's 1533-position model. The record is from RNAcentral.